RNAcentral lists this ribosomal RNA (400 nucleotides) under uncultured bacterium. RNAcentral's name for it is "bacterial SSU rRNA". It matches the Rfam family "Bacterial small subunit ribosomal RNA", at positions 356 to 773 of the family's 1533-position model. The record is from RNAcentral.
GGGGAAUAUUGGACAAUGGGCGCAAGCCUGAUCCAGCCAUGCCGCGUGAGUGAUGAAGGUCUUAGGAUUGUAAAGCUCUUUCAGUGGGGACGAUAAUGACGGUACCCACAGAAGAAGCCCCGGCUAACUUCGUGCCAGCAGCCGCGGUAAUACGAAGGGGGCUAGCGUUGUUCGGAAUUACUGGGCGUAAAGCGCACGUAGGCGGAUAUUUAAGUCGGGGGUGAAAUCCCGGGGCUCAACCCCGGAACUGCCUUCGAUACUGGGUAUCUUGAGUUCGGAAGAGGUGAGUGGAAUUGCGAGUGUAGAGGUGAAAUUCGUAGAUAUUCGCAGGAACACCAGUGGCGAAGGCGGCUCACUGGUCCGAUACUGACGCUGAGGUGCGAAAGCGUGGGGAGCAAAC